CACCCAUCAGUAGCCGGGUUUGGGUCUUGCAGUAUCAUGACCCCGAAAGGGACAAGCGGCUAAACCGACGAAUGAAUGAUGUCUGUACAACUGUAUUUACUUAUUAAUUUCUUUCAUUCAACCAGGUCUGAUGAACAAAAUCAGAAUAGAGCUCCAGAUGAGAAUGAUGUUGAACACAACACAUAUGGAUCUCUGCUCCAUGGUGAUGUUGAUGUUUAUGAGUCACUCAGAGUCCAUGAAGACACAGAGAAUAAUCCAGAUUACGCCAACAUAGGUACUGAAGAAGAAUGAAGAAAAACUGGACGAUCUGCUUUUCUAAUCUGAAACUUCAAAAGAGCUCCAACUCGAUUUAUUGAACCCUGAAAAACUCCUCUUAGGGUGUAUUCA
Oryzias melastigma (Indian medaka) is the source of this 387-nucleotide long non-coding RNA. RefSeq lists it as uncharacterized. Lineage: Eukaryota; Metazoa; Chordata; Actinopteri; Beloniformes; Adrianichthyidae. The transcript is spliced from 3 exons. The record is from RefSeq and is a predicted model, not a curated record.